This 3568-nucleotide long non-coding RNA is filed under the name Citrus x clementina. RNAcentral's name for it is "Citrus clementina (C. clementina) long non-coding RNA (CCLE_LNC006728)". Lineage: Eukaryota; Viridiplantae; Streptophyta; Magnoliopsida; Sapindales; Rutaceae. The record is from RNAcentral.
CCGGACUCGGACCCGGACCGAUUGUAUCCGGGCAGGGUCCGAUCAUGCAAUACCCGGACCCGGCCCGGGAUUUUGCCAUCUCUACCCGGCAUUGUGCCGGCUUGUAAAUGCAGUCAUUGAAUUCAUGUAAAAUAAAUCAAACGGUUGACAUUGAAAAGAAAUUAAAAAAAAGGUACAAAUGAGCAACCGAAGCAACCGAUUCCCCAAGGUUGCAAAACAAAAUUUAGGUGUUUCAAUUGCGCCCGAUCUCUUGCAUCUCUCUCAAAAAUCACAAAUUUCUCUCUUCAACUUCUUGACAAAUCAAAUAAAAUCGAAGCCACAUCUCGCUCACACAAUCCAAUCCAUCAACUUGUUGUUGUCAUCUUGAGUCGUUUGCUUCCGGUCUAGUUGUUUCUGUCGCUAACAUCGUUGCCUCCUUUUUCAUUCGACGUUUUCAGCUGUACAAAGUAAGGAUGGGUGGCUUUGCUGGUCUCACGCUUGUGCCUUUAUCCUCAUGGGUACGUCCCCGUUGACUGUGGCUUAAACAUCUAGUUCUUAAAGUCUACUAUAAGUUUGCUGGUACUGUUAAGUGAUUGAAACUAUUGUUGCAGCUUCACCCAAUAUUCUGUUUAUUGCUGUAUUUCUUCUACUUUUAUCAUUCUGGUAGCUUUUCUCUUCUUGAAUGAAGCAUCUUUAAUUGGUACCUCGCUUGCUUGUACCCAAUUUGGCUCUGGCUUCUAUCGACAGCUUUCUUGCUUUUGUUGCAUUCUAUCAGGUUUGAUUUAAAUACCCACUUUUGCUUAUUUUUCAUGAUGGUAAGAGUUCAUUGUCAAGACAUGCAACAUUUGAUGCGAAAUAUGCAACAUCUCACAUAAAACAUGCAAAAUAGACGUCAAACAUGAAACGGGCAGGAAUAUUUUCUAUUUUUUAGCUUUAUUCAAGACAUACGAUGUUUGACGUGAAACAUGCAAUAACUAAUGUCAAAUAUGCAACAACUGACGUGAAACAUAUAACAUGCAAUUUACAUGUAAUUAAGUUACGUGAAACAUGUAACAACUGAGGUAAAAUAUGUAAUGACUGAGGUUAAAUAUGAGAACCACGUCAACAUGUAAUAUUUCAUGUCAAACAUGAAACGGACAAGAGUAUUUGAGAAUAUUCUCUAUUUUUGGCUUUAUUCAAGAUAUGGAAAAUCUGACAUCAAAUAUGCAACAGUUGACAUAAAACAUGCAACAUGCAACAUUUCACAUCAAACAUGCAAUAUAUCACGUAAAAACAUGCAAUGUUGACGUUAAAUAUGAAAUGGACAAGAAUAUUCAUGAAUAUUCCUUAUUUUUUAGCUUUAUCCAAGACAUGCAACAUUUGAGUCAAACAUGCAACAUCUGACGUCAAAUAUGCAACAACUGAUGUAAAACAUGCAACCUGCAACAUUUCAUGUCAAAAAUGCAACAUACCACGCAUAACAUGAAACGUUGAUGUCAAACAUGAAACAGGCAAGAAUAUUCUUGAAUAUGUAACACCCUAAGUGAAUCUCACAUUGGUAAAGCACGGGAGAAAUACUGGGUUUAUAAGGAGUGAUCCACACCUUAACUAGCAAGACGCGUUUUUAAGUGUAUGGGUGCCGCAGGAACAAAACUGUGUGGGUCUUGUUAAGGUCCAAAGUGGACAAUAUCUUACCAAGUUUGGGUUGGGUCAUGACAAAUGGUAUCAGAGUCGCUCUGUGUGUCCUCUUCAGCGAUGGUGGGGCGAGUCUCAACGAGGACACUGAGUCCAUAAAGUGGUGUAUGUAACACCUUAGGCGAAUCCCAUAUCAACAAAGCACUGGAGAGAUGCUGGGUUUAUAAGGGGUGAUCCACUCUUUAAUUUCAUGACGCAUUUUGUAUGGGCGCCGUAGGAACAAAAUCAUGUAGGUCUUGUUAAGGCCUAAAGCAGACAAUAUCUUGCCAUAUUUGGGUUGGGUCAUAACAGAAUAUUCUUCAUUUUUGGCUUCAUUCAAGACAUGCUAUAUCUAACGUCAAACAUGCAACAAUGACGUCUAAUAUGCAACAGUUAACGUAAAACAUGCAACUUGCAACUUUUCACGUUAACUAUGCAACAUAUUGUCAGUAAUAUGGCCUGAAGACCAAUCAAAUGAUGUUUGCUUUUAGAGAAUUAUUGUAUUUGAAUAGCAUUUUGAUAUUUAUAAAAUGGCAAAGUUGCCAACAUUCAUAAAUUAAUUUAAUGAAUAUAGUCCAAGAAGUAAAAUAGUUAAUGAACACAUUCUCGAGUUUGUUGAAAAUACGAAACGUGUAUUCUUUGUACUAUACUUUUAAAAUAGUUCCUAGUGGUGAAUUUAUGAUUGGACGUCAUAAAUUCCUAUAAACACUAGUAUGUGUAUGACUCAUUUAUGGUAUGUGAUACUAAAAUGGAUAGUGAAUUUCAUAUCAUUGACAUGAGAUGUCAAGUCAAACACAUAGGUACUUGUUGCAAAAAUGAGUUUACUGAACUUGACCAAAUAUAAUAAGUCACAUGGUUUUGAGUGUUAAUGACUUAUUAUACAUUAUGAUAGACACUAUAUUUAAUAAUGGUUUUUAGACUUGAGGCAUCACAUAUGUCUUGUACAUAGACAUCUCUGAUAUGUGAAAGCAUAAUGAUUGAUUCCUAAUCAAGGAAGAGAUCUAGCAAUAGUUGUCAUGGUUGGUUAUGUAUGGAGACAAGUGUAUGGCCAAUAUGGAAUUCAUCACUUCGUAAUAUAUAAAAAGGAUGUCCCUGAAAGAUAAUAUGAAUUGACAUGAGAAAUCCUUGGCCAAGAUGAAAUAUAUUUGAAGGAGUUCAAAUUAUAUUUUUCAUGCCAAGUUUAUUUAGAUUUAUUUUUGAGAUAAAGUAUAAAUGCUUAACACCCUAAACCAUAAGCCAUGUUUUUCUCUGGACAUAGAUGAUGAAGAGACCAGGACAUAGAGAAACAAUUAAAUAGGUUCUAUAGAUCUAGCAAUUCUUGUUAUUUGGGUGGUUGUGAAAUACUGUUAAGUGUCACUCAUGACUUGUAGAAACCUUAAGAUAAUUAUUAGUAAAGCGUAUUAGCAAUGCAUCUUAAGGUCAUUAGAAAAGUUAUAAUUGAUGACUAAAGAGUUUAGCAUCAUUUAAUGAAUAAAGAGUUAUCAUUAAAAUAAUUCUACUACCUUAUAACAAAGAACCUAAAAGGUUACACACCUAAUAGAAAUGAAAAAUGAGUUACUAGUAAAUGAGAAGUUAAAUUUCCUAAUUUUAGGAAAAUCGGUAUUUAUAUUACAAUUCAUUAAGAAUGGAUAUAUAUACCUUAAAUAUGAUUUGAGAUAGAAAUUUAGAUGUUCCAUGAAUAGUUUAAGAAACAAAAUAAAUUUCAUAAAUCCUUAAUUAAAUAUUAUGUGCAAUAUCGAGUAAGUAAAAUGACCAUAUUGGACAUGUUUUGGUUCAUAAAUGAUUAUGGACUUCUAGACCAAUUUUGGGUUUAGAGUUUUAGGCUUUUAUUGGACCUAAUAUGGAUUAGGAAAAGGCAUAAGAAUAUGUCACAAAGGAAGCCCACAAUUAACCACUUGAUUUGAUCAAAAUGGCAUUAAUUAAUUAAAUACAAAAU